CACUAGGCGAAAUUUUUCGACCGAAUCGAAAUUUCUCUUUGUUUCAUGAGCUCUCGAGCAGAACUAAUUGUAAAAAGACAAAGAGAAAUUUCGUUUCGGUCAAAAAAUUCCGCCUCGUGGAAUCAGGCCUUAAAACACCACAGGAGUACAUACGAGUAACAUACGAGUAACACACAAGUACAUACGAGUACAUACGAGUAACACACGAGUACAUACGAGUACAUACGAGUAACAUACGAGUAACACACGAGUGCAUAUGAGUAAAACACAAGUACAUACGAGUACAUACGAGUAGAAUACGAGUACAUACGAGUAGAAUACGAGUAGUAAACUUGUUUUUAGUGUUUGUAGAUUGAAUACAGGCAAAAAGAUCGUCUUCUCUGUCGAAAAACGUGGAAUGGAGGAACGGGG
Paramuricea clavata is the source of this 411-nucleotide non-coding RNA. The record is from the annotation of a GenBank genome assembly. NCBI's taxonomy places the organism in Eukaryota, Metazoa, Cnidaria, Anthozoa, Malacalcyonacea, Plexauridae.